RNAcentral lists this ribosomal RNA (691 nucleotides) under uncultured crenarchaeote. RNAcentral describes it as "bacterial SSU rRNA". It matches the Rfam family "Archaeal small subunit ribosomal RNA", at positions 722 to 1412 of the family's 1478-position model. The record is from RNAcentral. Lineage: Archaea; Thermoproteati; Thermoproteota.
AACCGGAUUAGAUACCCGGGUAGUCCCAGCUGUAAACCAUGCCAACUCAGUGAUGCAUUGGCUUGUGGCCAAUGCAGUGUUGCAGGGAAGCCGUUAAGUUUGCCGCCUGGGAAGUACGUACGCAAGUAUGAAACUUAAAGGAAUUGGCGGGGGAGCACCACAAGGGGUGAAGCCUGCGGUUCAAUUGGAGUCAACGCCAGAAAUCUUACCCGGAGAGACAGCAGAAUGAAGGUCAAGCUGAAGACUUUACCAGACAAGCUGAGAGGUGGUGCAUGGCCGUCGCCAGCUCGUGCCGUGAGAUGUCCUGUUAAGUCAGGUAACGAGCGAGAUCCCUGCCUCUAGUUGCCACCAUUACUCUCAGGAGUAGUGGGGCGAAUUAGCGGGACCGCCACAGUUAAUGUGGAGGAAGGAAGGGGCCACGGCAGGUCAGUAUGCCCCGAAACUCUGGGGCCACACGCGGGCUGCAAUGGUAAUGACAAUAGGUCCCAAAUCCGAAAGGAGGAGGUAAUCCCUAAACAUUAUCACAGUUAUGACUGAGGGCUGCAACUCGCCCUCACGAAUAUGGAAUCCCUAGUAACUGCGUGUCAUUAUCGCGCGGUGAAUACGUCCCUGCUCCUUGCACACACCGCCCGUCGUUUCAUUGAAGUGAGCUUUUAGUGAGGUGACGUCUGAUUGGCGUUAUCGAACUUGA